This is a long non-coding RNA of Mus musculus (house mouse), 416 nucleotides long. RefSeq annotates it as predicted gene, 41691. The transcript is spliced from 2 exons. Lineage: Eukaryota; Metazoa; Chordata; Mammalia; Rodentia; Muridae. The record is from RefSeq and is a predicted model, not a curated record.
UGCCCUGUCUCAGAUUUUUAGGUUCUAUUAGUGUCUCAAAGUCAUGCACCCUGCCUUUCCAUGGAUCUGUAGCUGCUUCUCGAGCCUGCCUGUAACCUCUCCCUCCUCCUUUAAAUCUUCAUCCCGGUGUGCAAGGUGGGUCGGCUGAUGUUCCUACCUGUACAUCCAAGGAGAAGGCAUGAAACCAGUGGAAGAUGGAUUCACGAGGCCGAGCAGCUACAUGCAGAGGUUUGUCAGUGUCCUGGAUGACAGCACCUGCUGAGAUUCUAACCAACAGCCAGUGUCAACUGCCAGCCCUGUGAUUGAACACCUUGCCUUUGUCAUGCCAUCCCAGUUGGUGAUUCGUGGAAUAGAGUUGAUGCUUCUCUGCUGUCUCCUGCCCAGACAGCUAAAUAAAUUAUUAUUGUUUUAAGAGA